This 9199-nucleotide long non-coding RNA is filed under the name Lactuca sativa (garden lettuce). Its description in RNAcentral is "long non-coding RNA (LSAT_LNC009628)". Lineage: Eukaryota; Viridiplantae; Streptophyta; Magnoliopsida; Asterales; Asteraceae. The record is from RNAcentral.
UUUAAUCUAUUGGAUUAAAUUGAAAUUUGUAUAGUUAUAACCACUUUAUGAUAUUUUGUUAGUUUAACUAUAGAUUCACGUAUUCCAUUAGAUUCGAUUGAUGCUUUUUGGAGAAAGCUUGAUUUGAAGCCUUCUAUAUCUGUUGAAUAUGGUGAUCUUAAUGUUGAUCAUCGUAUGCAAAGGAUUAAAGAAAUAUGCAACUAUCAACCAGAUCAUAUCAAAUACAAUUAUUUAAGGAGGAUGGAGGAGAUAACAGAUCCAUCAACAAAUUUGAUCAAUAAACCUUCGGUUAAGAAAAAUAACAAUGGACACCCAAAAGUAAUGUCACACCCCAUAACCAGGAACGGCGGAAAUGUUCUGGGCCGGAGGACGUCAUGUACAGUAUCACAACAAUGAAUAGUAGUAAACAAGCAACAACAUCAUCCAUUGCAUUAAUAAUUAAUUUUAAUACAAGUGUUCUGACAUGUUUAAUAGACACUAAAGUAUGAAUCAAAAUGAAAGAUGAGUCUGGAACGAGCUCCAUCUUCUCUAAACCUUGCACCGGUACUUGUCUACUAUUGACCUGAGGAUACAAUUUAUUUUGAAAAAGAGUAUCAGCUUUAAAGCUGGUGAAAUCAUAAGUAUUUUAGUGUUUGUAUUUGUAAUAAUGUAUAUGUAAGAAUGUAUUUGUAAGACUGUAUUUGUAAGUAUAAGUAUGUAAAAGUUUUGAAUAACCUAGAAAACCCUAUGCUUCCUACUGAAAGUAGCCUUCUACCAAGGCAUCUAGUAUCUGACUAUGUCUCUUGUAAGAGUGUGCAUUUUCCCAAAUCUAACUAUCAUUAACCAAAAAUAUAGUAUUUACAUUACCGUACAUCGUGUGAAUGUUCACAAAGUGAAUGUAAUGGGGAAAUAAUAAUGUAUUGUAGUAUUAUAAUAAGUGACUACUUUUGUACUAACUACCUUAAACCAAAUGAAAUUUAAAGUAACAUGUGAUCGUCCGGUAUCCUGCUACCGACUAAAUAGUAAAACGACGAUGUAAGACGCCGUAAGAAAUGACAUUUGGCACCCGUAGACUUGCAAGUCCCACUGUAGCGAGCAGCAAGGUGUACGAUAGUCAAUCCAAUAUAGAUCUAUACGCAAACUCAUACGCUCCCCAAUUAAGGAGAUUCUGGAUACAAAAACGGUCAUGGCAGGUAGUGCCAUGACCCGUUUAAUGGCUCACAUAACUGAAUGUAAAUUAUAUGUAAUGUAUGCUAGCUGUAUUGUAUGUUCUCCCUCUGUCUAGCCUGUAUGUUCUCUAUGUAUAGUAUUGUAAUGUAUUGUGUGUACUAGCUGUAUUGUGUGUUCUCUCUAUCUAGCAAGUAUUGUAAUUUUUUGUGUGUACUACCUGUAUUGUCUGUCCUCUUUAUCUAGCAAGUAUUAUAAUGUUCUAUGUGUACUUGUUGUAUUGUGUGUUCUCUCUAUCUAGCAAGUAUUGACUCAUGCAUGUACUGACUCUUGUAUGAUUCAUUGUUCUAGUAUUAGUAUUAGUAAAACCCUAAACUACGCCUAUUGUAGCUUACUAGUAAUAUAACUUGUACGUAUGAACAUGGAAGUAUACCCUUGCUACCCAAGGGUAUUGAAUUGAUUGGAAGAACCUUUAUGAUUAUAUAUGUACACAUGAUAUAUAACUAAUAGUUAAACGACCUUCGGACAGAUACCCGAUACCUUACCAGACCACAUCCCAACGGGGAAAAGGAAAUAAGGCGGGUUAGCCUUCCUAACUCCUUCAAACAUUACUUAUAUAACUAUACAUAUAUAGGCAUGCAAUUGACAAUAUAAAAGUAUAGAAGAAGUUUUGUAAAACCCUUGAAAAGUUUUAUAACUAGGAAAAGAUGACUUGAUGUCAGUUUGUAAAACAGUUUGAAAACAGUUUAUUUGAUAAGAACAGUUUAAAGUAUAAUGAAACCUUUGUUUUGGAAACACAACUGUAACAGAGAUUUGAAAAGAAACAUUCAGUAUGUAAGACAGUUUGAUAAAGAAUUGUAAACUAGUAAAAAUGUUUUGGAAAGCCAUUUGAAGUAAUUUGUUUGGUAAAACAACUAAAAGUGUGGUUAUUCUAUUUGUAUGCUAGUUAUCAAUCACAUGUGAUUGAUAUAAUAAAUAGCAUGAUUCAACUUGUAUCCCCCCAUAAAAGCAUAUAAAAACAUUUAAAAUAUAAAUUAAGGGGUAUGAACUCACCUAUAGCAAGUGGUUGGGAUGAACGGACUGUAUAGGAUGCUGGGUGUCAAGUGAAGACUUCCACACACUCUAUGAUCCUAGAUAACAUAUAAUAUCACAUAUAUGUAACCAAUUAGCCUUUAAAGAAUUAACUAACAAGGUUAAGACAUCCUAAAACAUGUUAAACACUUUAUAUAAGUGUUAUAAGUGCUAAGGAUUGCAUCUAAGUGUUGUAGGACAAGGCUAUUGGGUUUUAGGGUUCAAGGGAACCCCUAAUAUGAGUUUACUCCCUAAAGACCAUAACCCCUUGACUUUACGGUCGUAAACCCUUGAGUUUACGGCCGUAAGCUCAUAAUCUUUUGACCAUUUGAUGGUUUGAAGUCUUCUAGGCCAUUCCAAGCAUUCCUACUUCAUGUUUAAGCCUUAGGAAAUGUUUUGUGGCAUCAAUACACUCCUUGAUGGAGUUUACGGCCCAUGGACCAUUUCUCCAUGAGUUUGCUGUCGUAAACUCCUAUGGACUAAGGUAUUUUGAUGUUUUCAAGUCCCAAACACUUCGUGGUAAAAGUCUAGGCUUGAUUCAAGGCAUAAGGAAGGAACAUGGGCCAUUUUUACACACCUUUAGGGUGUUUACGGUUUUGAGAGAUCCCCAAACCGUAAACACAUAUAAAUGAGUCAUUUUGGUGGUUUUUAUGUGCUAAACACAUUAAGGAAGGGGUCUAAACUAGUUACCAAGGCUUAGGAUAAGCUAAGGAACACAUUGGCACCCUAAAUAGGGUUUACGGUCCAAGGUGUUCUUCGACCGUAAACACCUUUGAUCUUGGUGUUCUUGGAUGAUUUCUUGAGGUAUAGAAGUGUAACAAGCUUGUAAGACUCUAGGAUAGAAGCACUUACAAGUUAGAAGCUCGAAAAGGUCCAAAAGGCCAAGAACACAAGUGUGUGUUCUUGGUAUAAAUUGAAGAUUGACCCUUUUGGAAUGAUUUCACGGUUAGAAGUGUGUUAAAACACUAGAUUAAGCCAUAAAAUAACUUAAGAAGGCUAGAAGCACUUAUUAGAUCGAAGAUCUCGAAAAACUUUUGGAUGAUACUUGAGAGAGAGAAAUGGGUUUGGAUCUUGAGAUUUGGAAAAGUGUAAAUAAUGACUAACUCUCAUAUAUAUACUCCCAAAUUUAUGAUUUUUGGAAGAAAAUAUUUUUUUCAGGCAGUAAACCCUAAUUUAUUAGAGUAUUGGAAUAACAGUGUUGCACAAUAACCCUAGGGCAUCCUCUCUCCUGAUAUCACCCGAAGUGUAAAUCCUAAAAUACUCAAACUUGUUCCAAAAAGUUUGAAACUUAGCAACAACUUUUCUGGCUUCUAUUGUAUUGAAGGGUUGUAUAAAAUUGAAAUUUCGGGUUGUGACAUCAUCCCCCUGUUAGAAGGAAUUUCGUCCUGAAAUUAGAAUUUAGGUAAGGAAGUAGGCAUGAAUAAUCGAGCCAAGAAAUGGGGAUACUUCCUAAUUGGUUGAUUCUUGAGCUCCCAAGUGAAUUCGGGUCCCUGGUUGGCAUCUCAGCGAACCUUCACUAAAGGGGAAACGACUAUGAAUCAUUCGUAUGACCUCUCGAUCCAUGGUCACUACAGUUCUUCCACGUAGGUGAGGCUCUUGUGGGACUCGAUCUCUUCGAGUGGGAUUUCAAGAGUCUCGUCGGAUCGAUAAAUUUUACAAAUUCGAGAUGGGAAGGGUAGAAUGUACGUUACUAAGCUCGCAUAGUAGGUUGAGUUUGUGAGAUACAUGACCGAUUCUGGUAAGAAUCUCUGAGAUCCUAACUAUCUUGGAUUUAGCUCUUCUCACCUUCCAAAACGUAUCAAGCCAUUCCCAAAGUGAGACUUCCUAAAGAAUUUGGUCUCUCACUUGGAAUUCCAAAGUUUCUUUUUCUUGCUUAUCUUCCCAAUAAGGGGCCACCCCUUGCUGGGUUAAAGUCGUAAGGGUUUCUGAAAUUCACGAGGAGUUCUGAAUGGACUAUGAUAGUAGGUCUGCAAGACCUAAAAUUUGACGAAUUCCCGAUGGCGUCUUCGGUGCUGACAAAUUCUCAACGGUUUUGAUAAAUUGCAAGGGUCCUCAAGAAUUUCCACAUCACUAAUAGUGUGUCUUAGGAAUUUUUGAAACUUCAAUCCCAAAACUCGUAUUUAGAGAACUUUGCGUAACGCUUCUCUGAUCGUAUUGGUUCCAUGGUUUGUUGUAGGUGAUCUUUAUGAUUUCCUUCUUACUACGAGGGUAGAUAAGUAAGUCAUUUACAAGGUUAAUGACGAACUGAUUCAAGUAAGAAUGGCGUACUCUAUCCAUUAAGUUCAUGAGUACUACGGGCGUAUUGGUCCUAUCCGAGGGGUAUCACUACGGACUCGUAGUGUCCGUAUCAAGUUCGGAAGGUCGUCUUCGGGACAUCCUUCUCUAAUGCUCGAAACUGGUGACAUUCAGAUUUCAGGUCCAUUUCUGAAAAGUAAUUUGUUUCUUGCGUUUGCUCAACCAAUUCCUCUAUGUGAGGCAGAGAUAACGAUUUCUAAAGGAAAUCUUGACGAAUCCCCGAUAGUCGAGGUACAUAAGAUACAUCCGUCUACCUCUAGAAGAAUAAGAUCGGAGCCCUCCUGCGUGAGGAGCUGGGUCUUUCUAUUCUUAUGUUGGGUAGUUCGCUAAGUUUUCUGGACUGUUCUUGUCUCUCUGUGGGUGUUUAGACUGUAAGGCGAUCUGGUUACAGGAGUCGUACUGAGUUCUAUGUUUGUUCACAUGACAAUGCGAUUACUCGUAGUCUUGGGUAGUCUCCGUCCUGGACUUCAUAUUAGAAUUCAUACAUGGUUCAACGAUCACAAUCUCGUGUAUACGAUUCGUAUAUCAUUAAGAUUGAAAAGAUAGUCGAAUAAAUGAUUCUUAUUUACCUUCACAUCCCAAUGAGGAAAAGAGGUUAAAGUGGAAUCAUCAAUUCUUAACCUAUAGAACCUUGAUUAUAUACCACCCCUUUGUAUACAUUCUUCAGUAAUAGAUCAACCGUAUGGGUCUUUGGAUUGAACUUGACGUAUUGUACCAGUGAUACUUUGAGGAUUUUUUCGGAAAGGAAAAGAAGCAUGAGGUACUCCAUGCACGAGUACUUCGGUGGCCUGUUAUGACGGCUUCGCUGGAAAGGCGAUUUCGGAGAAAGAGAUGUACGUAAGGAGCUGGUAUUGUGCGGAUCAAAUUGAGUCUAGUUGUAUGAUAAUGUCGGAAUCAUAUGGGAACUACAAACAUUAGAUUUGAACAUAAGGCGGUACAAACAAAACACCACCGUGCAACCAUUAACAGAGUUACAGUACUUUAGACUUACUACAAGACUAUUGCUGCGAACAAGGUAUACUACAAAAGACAAGUAUACGCAGCACGAGCAUCCCUUUACUGAUGGGAUCUCGCAAAAGAUACGACUCUAGUAGCACUAGUUUUGGAUGGUUUAUAGGUCUUUUACAACGAACGCCCUAGAUAUUCUAAUGAAGGUCCGUCAUAGUUUCUCCUGCAGAUGUGAUCCUGAGAAUCUUCCCAUCAGCGCUCGAGUUCUUCGCUAUCGGGCAAUCCUUCUUGAGGUGUCCAAUUUCACCGCAUUGGUGACAUAUCUGGACAGCACCAACAUUGGUGGUGGAAAUGAUGUGUCGAGCUAGAGUGACGUGGACACGAGUGUUCUCCUUGUUCAUCCCCUUUGAAACUUUCCUUUCAUAGGGUCUAGUUUUAACACCACCAUCGUAAGCUCGGUUGACUCUGAUGUCAGGGGCUUGAGUGAUGGGUCAUGCCGGUGCUUCACAGCUACGAGCAUGGUGCCCUAUUUUUAGGCAAUUGCAACAUUGCACCUAAUGGAAAGCCCCAUGAUGAUGGAAACUACACUUAUCACACUUCGGAAGUUUUCCCUCGUAUGGUCUGCUCGGUACGGGGAGGGCAGGGGUUUCCACUUGUUGUUGUUGCAUGGCAAGCUUUUGGGAUUUCUUGCGUUCUUUCUGGGCUUGGCAUUGUCGUUUCUUGUUCUCUGCUUUUCGGCUUUGCGAGCCUGCGACUGUUACCGUUUGAUGACUUCCUGGAUUGAUACUGCGAUCGGGAUUUUCAACCCCUUCGUCAGCAUUGAUUGCGCUGAUAGCGCUUCAAUGUGCAAGGACAGCUGUCACGGCAGCCAUCAUGGCAGCUGUAAUUGCGGUUUGAAAAGUAGCGGCGUCCAUAGGAAAAGCAGAGGUUUCGUUGUUCGGCUGACAGUUUCCGGAUGACGACAUGAUUCUGUAAUACGAAUAGAUAAGGAUUUUUUCAGCGAUUCUGGAUUACCCUAAAUGUACUUCGAUCGCUUAAGUAAAGAGUAAGAGUAUGUUCUCAAAAGUUUAACCUACAUCCCUAUGAUGCAGUCCUACUAUGGAAUUGAAGUAUGUUCAUGCAGGUUUGACCUACAUCUCUAUGAUGUAGUCCUAGAAAGAGUGGAAGUAAGUUCGUAGAAUGGUCUCCAAACGUUUUGUCGUUCAAGCCGAGGUAUGAAUGGUUGGUGGAUAAUAUGAUCCAACCUUUGAAAGAGGCUUGAAGAUGAUCCCGGAGCUAAAUUACUAUAGUCCAAAGACUUGACUAAAGCAAAUUUCAGAUACACUCAAUUGAAGGUAUGAUAAAAGUAUUUGAACAGAGAAUAACUCAGGAGUUAGUCGACUGUCAAUAUCAUCGAUGUUUAAGAUGUAAUAAAUUCGGGAAAAUUGACCUUGUAGUAGGUCUUACAUCACAUCUAGAGUAGAGAAGUCUUUGACAGCAUAAAGACCUAACUAAAGUACUUACAGUACAAGGUAAUCACAUAGAUAAGUGCUAUACCGGACAUAGAUAUGAACAUGGUCCCUAAAAACAAAGAAGGGAAGUAAAGUAUUUCCUACUAGCGACGGUCACCCCUAUGGUGAACCCUUAGUUCAUCUAGUUGACGUUCCAUAUCAAGCAGGUAUCUUUCGUAUACCCUCUGACGUACUCGGAGCUCUAUGACUUCGGCUCAGGUUUCAGCUAGUGCUUGCAGCAGGGUUUCAUGGUCUCUCUCAGAUCUCUCACGAGUAUGUUCAAGGUGGUUGGUGCGAAGGAUAUGCAUCCCUCCAUUGGUGUCAAUUCUGCGAUACGACGUAGAGCUGUCCUGCCCUGAAUUCCGUUUCGGGCAACUCUACGGAUCAGGAUUGGUAGAACUCUAUUUGCUGUGCUCCCUUCAUUUACGUUGUAGAAGCUUCGGUCUCCAUUAAACGGCAUAGGUUGAUCUUGAUCUUCGCUUCAUGCUUCCAAACAUUCGACCCAAGGAGGCGUCGGGCCAUGAAAAGCUAGACGAGGGUUAGGAUUUGGAAUGGGAGCUACCGAGGGUAGGUUCUCAACCUCGGGUUCGGAGUUAGCACCAUCUGAAAGGUCUUCACCAUGAUGAUCAUUCAAAGGGAUCAUAUGAUCAUUCUCUGGUUCUUCCCCUAACCAUCCAGCAAUGACCUCAUUCAAAAGGUACGGGUUGUCGUGGGGAUGGAGUCCAGCCAUGUUAUCUAUGCGAGAAUUGGGGUAAGAAAAUAAUUAUUAGACGAAUUAUCUAGAUAAUUAUUUAGAAAAUCUUCAUUAGUUACAUCACUAUUUGUGAAGUGCAUACCAGUUAUAUGUAAUCACAACCGGAUAGGCCUUCGAAUAAGUGACCUUAACUCCAAAUUCACAAAGAAUAGGGGUAAAGCAAAAAAUUUCACAGAUUCUAAGUCUAUAACAUCCUAGUUACAUAUAGCCUUAGUGUAUCCACUUAGAAACUAUCAACUUAGUAAUGAAGAUCCUUUUUAGUUCUCAAGUAUAAAAUACUUAUAGUAACCCCAAAUACCCCUAUAGUAUUUUAGGUUUAUGUUCUAUUGUUCUCAUUGUGGUAUUGUUGGUAAGAUUUUAUACUUGUUGCAACCACACAACUACACUUAGGCACAUGCUAGUCAACCCUUGGAUAAUAUAGUUGAUCAGGCUAUAUCUUCCCAGUUUUGACUAUAUGUCUCUAAGUCCACUUGUGUUGCCCAACAAUCGUAAUUCUUUUGUACAGUCCUAGUGACACUGAUUUUAGUAUGAAUGCAGGCACGUAUACUUAAUUAAAUAUUUUAUUAUUUAAAGUAUAAACUCUUGGUCAGAGUAUUUUAAUCCCAUUGUAUUUAUAGUCUGUAUAUCUUUUAUGGUUUGAUAUACUCAAUUCACUAUAAACAAUGCUCUGAUACCAAUCUGUCACACCCCAAAACCACGAACGGCGGAAAUGUUCUGGGCCGAAGGACGUCAUGUACAGUAUCACAACAAUGAAUAGUAGUAAACAAGCAACAACAUCAUCCAUUGCAUUAAUAAUUAAUUUUAAUACAAGUGUUCUGACAUGUUUAAUAGACACUAAAGUAUGAAUCAAAAUGAAAGAUGAGUCUGGAACGAGCUCCAUCUUCUCUAAACCUUGCAUCGGUACAUGUCUACUGUUGACCUGAGGAUACAAUUUAUUUUGAAAAAGAGUAUCACCUUUAAAGCUGGUGAGAUCAUAAGUAUUUUAGUGUCUGUAUUUGUAAUAAUGUAUAUGUAAGAAUGUAUUUGUAAGACUGGAUUUGUAAGUAUGAGUAUGUAAAAGUUUUGAAUAACCUAGAAAACCCUAUGCUUCCUACUGAAAGUAGCCUUCUACCAAGGCAUCUAGUAUCUGACUAUGUCUCUUGUAAGAGUGUGCAUUUUCCCAAAUCCAACUAUCAUUAACCAAAAAUAUAGUAUUUACAUUACCGUGUAUCAUGUGAAUGUUCACAAAGUGAAUGUAAUGGGGAAAUAAUAAUGUAUUGUAGUAUUAUAAUAAGUGACUACUGUUGUACUAACUACCUUAAACCAAAUGAAAUUUAAAGUAACAUGUGAUCGUCCGGUAUCCUGCUACCGACUAAAUAGUAAAACGAAGAUGUAAGAUGCCGUAAGAAAUGACAUUUGGCACCCGUAGACUUGCAAGUCCCACUUUAGCGAGUAGCAAGGUGUAGGAUAGUCAAUCUAGUAUAGAUCUAUACGCAAACUCAUACGCUCCCCAAUU